Mirounga angustirostris (Northern elephant seal) is the source of this 11217-nucleotide long non-coding RNA. RefSeq lists it as uncharacterized. The transcript is spliced from 4 exons. The record is from RefSeq and is a predicted model, not a curated record. NCBI's taxonomy places the organism in Eukaryota, Metazoa, Chordata, Mammalia, Carnivora, Phocidae.
UGUUGAGAAUCUCAGAUUAAUUAUUAAAAGUCAAGAUUUUAUUUGAGUAGGUAAAUCACUUGAAAGUGUUCAAGUUAGAAUGCAGCCACAUAACUGUGUAAAAAUGUAUAGAUAUUCUGUAAGUUGGGUGUGAAAAGAGAGCUUAUAUAAUAAGCUAAAAUUCAUAAAAAAGUGACCAAAUUGCAGUUUCUUCACCCCACCACAUUAAAAUUUGACUCAAACUCAUACUAUGGAUUUUAAUAGAGACUAGACAUUUCCAUCUCUAGUCACCUCUAAAUGAGACUCUAUGCAGUGGUGCCAGCCAUUGAUAAGUCUUCACAGCUGGUUGUGAGGCAGUCCUGGUGAAGAGGAGGACUAAGAAUGUUGGAUGAUGGAAUGCAAACUGGUGCAGCAACUGUGGAAAACAGGACGGAGGGUCCUAAAAAAUUAAACAUAGAACUACCAUAUGAUCCAGUAAUUCCACCUCAGAUUAUUUACCUAAAGAAUAUGAAAACACUAAUUUGAAAAGAUAUAUGUGCCCCUGUGUUUAUUGCAGCAUUAUUUACAAUAGCCAAAAUAUGGAAGCAGCCCAAGUGUCCACUGAUGGAUGAAUGGAUGAAGAAAAUGUGUGUGUGGAGUGGGGGGUAUAUGUAAUAUACAAUGGAAUAUUUCUCAGCCAUAAGAAAGAAUGAAAUCUUGCCAUUUGCGGUGAAUGGGUGGAGAUAGAGAGUAUAAGUGAAAUAAGUCAGAGAAAGACAUAAUUUCACUCGUGGAAUUUAAGAAACAAAUGAACAAAGGGAAAAAAAAAAAAGACAAACCAAGAAACAGACUCUUAACUAUGGAGAACAAACUGAUAGUUACCAGAAAAAGGAUGGGUGAUAUAGGUGAGGGAGUUACAAGAGUACUUUUAUCUUGAUGAGCACUGAGUAACAAAAUUGUUGAAUCACUAUAUUGUACACCUAAAACUAAUACCACACUGUAUGUUAACUACACUAGAUUUUUUUUUUUUUUUUUGGUGCAAAAUGGUGGUUUAUUAAAGCAUGGGUUCUGUCCCCAUGUUGGGGCAAGUAAGGAAAAGGGAGAUUUCAAAAGAACUUUUCAUAUGCUAAAGAGGACUGAUUUACAAGAUACCAGAGACUUUGCCAUUGUCAAGGUUGUUUCUCCCCCAGCAAGGUAUUAACCUUAAAACAGCUGGGAGAUUCCUGGAAGAAUGUCACUCAUGUCCCACCCAGAGUGGGGGUGGGGGUGGAAGAGGUUGCAGGGUGUAUGCUUCUGCUUUGUCUUCAGCUAGCCCCUUCUGCUCCCUCCUCAUUUCCUCCCUGAGCAAUUUUGACCCUUAAAUCUAAGGUUGUUGAAGGCGGAAGGUCUCAUUUUCUGUAAAACGUCCUCCUGCUGAAAAGGGGCAGAGAUGUCCCUACCCAGGGGAGUUACGAAAGGGGAGGCAGCUGAAUCUAAGGCUGACAGGAAGUCAGUAAGGAAGUAUCUCUGUGGGUGGUAAGAAUCAUCUGUUGAUGUGAAAUCAUAGUAGGGACGGAGUCUCAGCACUAAGUGGAGAGAUACUAUAGAUGUGGGCGGAUUCCUCUCCUCGAGGUCCCCAAUAUAUCCUGAGGUUCCCGCACCUGGUGGGGAAAUCUGAAGUGGGUGGUGUUAAGUCCAAGGGUUGCUCUUCUUGAUGGGGUUUUGGACUAUAGGUGAAAUUCGGUGGGUUGAGUUCAGGAGCCGACGACUAAGAAAGAAUUCUUGAGAUGUCUUUGGUGCAAAAUGGUGGUUUAUUAAAGAAGGGGGACGGGACCGGUUGGCUGAAAGAACAGCCUACACUAGAUUUUUUUUAGAAGGCAUCAAGUUGAGUGUUAGGGUACAUGUUGCUUAAUAUAAACUACUUUACCUUUUUUUUUUUUUUUUUACUUUUUUAAAUGAAAAAAAAAGUUGGAUGAUGGCUAAGGCAGGUUGUGAAGUUACCAUGUGACUGAUUGGGCCAUCAAGAGUCCUUAAACUGUGCUCUGAAUAAAACCCAGUUGCUGGCAGCCAUCCUAGGGGAGCACCUAAUAAUUAAUAUUGGCAAAAUCCUUUACUCCUGCCAAUACCUUCAUCCAGAAGGAAGGAUCCACUCUUUUAUUCCUGAAUAUGGAAACCAGCUGUAGCCUAAAUUCUUGCAUCUUGUAUUGGUUCACAAAUACUUACUAUACACUACUUUGUGCUAAGCUUUGUUCUAGGUACAAGGGACAGCAGUGAAAAAAUCCUAAUCUACAUCAUUUUAUUCUUUAUUUUCCAGUAAAAAAGUGGACAUAGGGUUGAGGAGUGGUUGCUUCUUAGAAUGUUCUUUGGACCUUUCCAAAAGAUGAGAAUUGAAAUUCAUUUAUCUUUUGACAGCAAUGGUAGCCUUGAUACAUGUCAUGGGCUAUAUAGUUUGUGUUCUCAAAAUCAUGCUUAUAAAUCUAAUGUUUGGAAAGGAUUUAUUCCCCUGAUCUUGAGAAAUUGAGAGUGAUUGUUGAUUUAGAGCAUGAAUUCAUAUUGUCAUUAAUUUGUUAUAUGAAUUUUAGUUUUGCCCCAAAAUCAUGUCUUCAGUGGCUGAUGCUAGUAAGUCCUCAGUGGGAGUCAAGGCCCCAAUUUUCUAGUACCUUCUGAUCUUCGGAAGUAUUUGUAAUUAUUCAGUUUCUAUGUUUAAUUUUAUAAUGGAUCUCAAAUAUCUGUGUUCCUAUAGCUCAUAAAUUCCCAAAGUCACCCACAGCUAAAUAAAACUAUUUCUUCCUGAAUUUUUCUUUUCUUCUGAGCUCUGCAGUUGAGGUGGAACUAAGUACAGUGUACUUUACAGGCUUUUGUUGUCUAGUUACUUGAGAAACACUUCCCUGUGAUGAAAUCAUCAAUUGCCUUUUUUUUUUUGUAACUGAGUGGUUAGGACAUUUUAUCCUUUUGCUGUGGUUCUUGCCUAAAAAAUUUAUUUCAUUUCAUAUGUGGGAGAAUUAGAUCCAGUUUUGAGGAUUUACCCUUGGUUCACUUAUAGACUAGCAUUAGUCUUUUUAUACUUAGAUUUUUAAAAACUCUUAAAAAUAGAAAUUUGGUAUGAGCUGUUUCUCUUUCCCAGGCUACUUGAGGAGGUUCUCUUAUUUGGUCUCAAAUGGGUUUAUAAUAUCUUCCUAACAUUUAAAAAGCUGAUGAUCUCUGUGCAGAUGAGGAGGUAAGACUGAGAAGAGCAUGUCAUUUACCCUGAUGUUACAUGGUGGUAUAAGUGGAAUCAUAUCUUGCUAGGACCUGAAAACUGAGGUGUCUGACUACUGACAAGAUUAGUCUGUAACAUGGGUCUGUUUAGAGGGAAGGUUAGAGAUUACAAAACACUAUAAGAUACAGAAAGUUAUAAAACUUACUUUUUGAUGGAGAAGAGAAAUUAACUCUUUAUCUCUUUAGAACAUGAUUUCAAUUUAGUGUCACAGAUAGUCGGAGGCAGUGUUUUAAGUGUGAUAGUUCCUCUCUUUCUACACCUGAGUCCCCUGGCAUCCACAGGAAUAUUCAAAGGAGUAAGACUGUCUCUGUUCCCAAAAAGCUUACAUAUGGUUAAAGAAUAGAAUCUACACAAGUAAAAGAGGAGUGAGAGAUUGAAUUCCUAAAGGACUGGGAUAGACUUCUUUAGGACCUAGCAUUUGAAGCAAACUUUGAAGGAGUUGGGGAGGGAGGGUUGGUAUCAACCAUAGCCAGGAAUAUUUAGGAAAUGUAUUCAUCAUCUAAUGAAUCAUGGUAUUACAGCUGAGGGCCGCAUCUAAUGCUCUUUGUAUACACACUACCUAUUGAAGUGACAGCUUCCAACCCACUUGAGCAUGAGUUUCCAAGUUAGACCUACUUGAAUUCAGAUCCUGGCUGUACCACUGUUAGCUGUGUGACCUUGAGCAAGUUGCUUUAUAAUUUCACCAUCUGCAACAAGACAAAGUAGUACUAACUUGUCAAUUGUGAAGAAUGAAUGAGAUAAAUCAUGUAAGAUAUGUGAUACAAUGCCUGUUCAUAGCUAUGAUGGGAAAAGAAUUAAAAUGAAGUAACUCUUAUUGUGUGAUUUGUGCCAGGGAAGUUGAGAACAUUAUAAUGGUUCUCUUUCCUGAAAUUAAAAAAAAAAAAAUCAGGAAGCUCUGGAUAAGUAAUAAAACUACCAUCUGGUUUUAUAUAUCUGUUUUUCUAGGGAGGUUAUCUGUCCUUAGAAGCAAGUCAAAACUCUGUCCUAAAAAAGAAUGCAGUAUGUAUUGAUUCAAGUGUAAUAUAAUCUCUAUAUCCCCUGCUAAAUGUAGCUAUUGAAGGAACAUUGAGCAAAGCCUUGGGUAAAGGAAAAUAUCUUUUAGAAAUAAAGAGCUUCUUGAGUUAGUUUACUUGAGAAGCUCUGAGUAUUUCCCAGGUAGGUCUCCCUUCUUUCAAAUCCCCAGCCUCAUCCUGGGCCUGCUUUCCUACUAAGAAAUGCCUCUGCCUGGACUCUUGAACAAAUAUGUUCCAGGGCAGUGUCAUUAGCCAAGCUGAUAUGGGAAUUAAACAAACAGGGUGAAUCAGCAUGAAUUCAUGAAGGUUGGCAACAAGUCAAUUUCUUUCUCUACUUCUCCACUUGUUUUUUCAGUGUACCUGAUUACUAGUGACCAGUAUGUCCUGAUAACAGAGAAUAGCAAGCAUAUCAAAGCAAGAGGUUGUUUGUCUAGUGACCUGCUCCUUGAUAACAAGAAGGAGUUUUUGUUGAUUUGGAUAUGCAUACUGUAAGGCAGCAAAACAGAGGAUGGGAAUUAUAGGUGUAGGUACUGGGGAUGAUUUUUUUUGUGGCACAAUGCCACAGGGGUAUUUAAAAAAGGAUUAGAACAAAACAUUUUUCCCUCUGAAUUGCACAAAUUUGAAAGGAAUGUUUGUCUUCUGACCUAAAAAAAGAGUUAACUGGCAUGUGGACAUUUUAUUGUCCAAUUAUAUAUAUUAAUUUGAAAUUGUACACAUAGUCUCAUUCCUUUUGUUGUAUUCUCUCCUCAAAUACUGGAUUUUAUACUUGCCCAUUCUUAGAUCUUACAUAUCUGAUUAAUAUCACUCUAGUAGGAUAUUACCUUGCUCAGCUUAAACAGCUGAUUUCCUUGUCAUUAUAUGAAAUUUGUAAAGUAUAAGAAAGUUUCAUCUAUUUUAUUUACUUAAGAUUUAUUUAUUUUUAGAGAGAGAGAGCGUAUUUGCACAUGAAGAGGGGCAGAGGGAGAGGGAGAGGGAGAAUCUCCAGCAGACUCCCUGCUGAGCACAGAGCCCGACAUGGGGCUUGAGCUCACAACCCUGAGAUCAUGACCUGAGCUGAACUCAAGAGUAGGGUGCUCAACCAACUGAGCCACCCAGGUGCCCCAAUCUCUAUUUUAAUUAAGUUCAGAAAUAGGAACUUUUUUUUCCCUAUGAGUGAGAUUAGUAAGAAAAAUUAAGGCAGGCAAUAGAGUUUAGUUUUUCAACUAAAAAUAUUUGGGACUUCAAUUUAAAUUGGUAGGGGUACCAAAGGUAAUGGAUUGAAGAAGAUAGUUGGAUUUUCUUAAUGUCUUAAAAAUAGCCAACUAAGCCGCUACACAGGAAAAGAGAUUGAAAGGGUAUUUUAAAAAAUAUAUUCCCAAUUGAAAAAAUUUAGUAUACAAAGUAAAAAGCUAUUCCUAAAAUAGUGAAUUGCUGCUGUAUCUAGAAAUAAAACUCUAGGACAUCCCUUUCCUCCUCUAGAUGUGCACCCUUUCUGAUGGCUACUCCGGGCUACAUUGGUAGGGGAAAGCUUUUCCAGGACUGUCAGCUAAUGGUACAGAAAUAAUUGACAUUUAGUGUCUGCCUACAUUUUCCUUUUGAAAGCCCAUAGGAGGUUUUCAAAUACUUGUUGAGUAAGUAAAUGUAAGAAAGAAUGAAUGAGUGAAUGAGAACCUUGAUUGAUUGCUAUGUUAGCCUAACUCUGAGUCUUAUUUAUUACAAGUUUUAUGACUGUUAGGAAGUUACUUUACCCAUGUCUUUCUUUGUCUAUAAAGUGGAGUUAAUAACACGUACCACAUAGAGUACUUAUUAAAUGUUUAUUGAAUAUCUGAAUUAAUCACUAGAUUCAGUUCAGCUGUACUGACUGAGUCCAGUUUUCUGGAGCCUGGGGAUUUGCCCUUUUAACAAAUCUGUUGAUAAUUCUUAUGCAUCCAAAGUUUGAAAACAACUCAUUUAAACUGUACUGUUUAUUGGGCAGGGCACUAUGAUAGAUGCCCAAGGCAGUACUAAAAGCAAUCAGACUGCCUCUGUUUUCAAUAAAUUUACAUAUAGUUAAAGGAUAGACAUAAUAUAAACAAGCACAGAGGAAGGAGAGAUUAAUUCUCUGAAAGGAUUGGUGAAACUUUACGAUCUAGCAUUUGUAAGAAUUAAGUAAGAUGUAAAGAAUGCCUGGAUCAAUAUGUGUCAUAUGGUAAAUGCAGAACGAUUGGUAUUGUUAUUUCCACAUAUGCUUUGUCUCUAUCCUCCAGUUCUUCCUAAUCUGUAAGGACUGGGUCUGUAUUACCCAUAGAUCUUCUCCAGCCAAUUUGUAAAUGACCUUGGAUGACUAUACUAACUUUUCUGGAAGAUUUUGAUGAUUUUUUACUGUUUUAUUCUGGUAACAGAGUUGUGACAGGUGUUUUCUUUCUCUUUUAGCUUACUCAUUUCCAUGUUAUGACUAUGUAAAAGUUUUCAUGAAAUUUAAUUGCACUCACAUUGUACCUUGCUGUAUAUCCUGAGACUCAACAUAUGAUUUCAGGAAAUUCACUUUCUAAACUGUAGAAAAGAAAUCCAUUUAGUCAAUUCUCAUUUAGUCAGGUUUUUCUGGCUUGUGGAUUAUUCACAUUCUUUGCCUCUGCACUUACAGGUUUCCUUUUAUCUGUGUCUUUGCUCGUUAGGCAUGAAUAGAGAAAGAGAAGGCAGCAGAUCUGGUAAAAAGAUUUAGUAUGUGAACUGAAAGAACUGAUGGCUAAAAUAAGGCUCAGAGAAUUCUGUUGAUAUUAGAGAGGGUGUCACAGUUCUCACUUGAUAGCAGAGGUGUUACCUAAUGAUCCUGGCAUGCUUAGGAUAUCGAUCAGAGAUUUUGACCUUUGAUCCUGCUACUAACUUACUGUGUAACUUGAGCAAACCAGUCAGUCUAUUCUUGUAAUAGGGAAAAUACCUCCAUGAUUCUGGAUUCAUGGUCCAAAUGAAUGUCAGUAAAAGGAAUUUAAAGAAUUCAUUGAAUGUGAACACAAUAUUCUAGAUAUUAAACAAGAAACCUCAAAAAAAUGUACCUUGUCUCUUAAGAUAUUACAUGAGAUGAAACUGGAAAUGGGUUUUUUUUUCUGGACCUUUUCAGAAUUCAUAUACCAGUAGCACUAGAAACUAUGUAAAAUAUUUUACAAUUAAUGAUUUUGUACUGCUUGUAAAACUUAAAGGACAAUUUUCAUACCGAUUUAAUUGAGAGACUUGCCCAAAGUUAAUCAGCUAAAUAAUGCUGAAAUGGGAACUAAAAUAGUUUUUCUGAUUUCCUGUCCACCAAAAUGACAUGCGCUAACCAAGAAGUGAACAUUUUUGUUCUAUUUAUGAAAGUCUGAUCUAUUUAUACUCUGUUGUUAUCAUGUGUUUAAUUUUUGUUUUUAAACCAAAUGGGGCAGAUGAUAUGUUGUUAAAGCAAAACCAAAGAUUAAGGACUAAGCAGGAAUCUUCUGAAUCAUAGGGAGGAAUUCUCGAUCCAAAAUAUUGUGGAAGUUUGUAACAUGAGCUAUAACAGUAUUAGUGACUUAUCACUAGUUUAAAACCAUAUAAAGCUGUUAUGUUAUUAGCUCUUAUAUUGUUAUCAAAUGAAAUUGGCUCUAUCUUUUAGAGGUCAAUCUUGACUUCAAAGAAGGUUAAAAAAAAAGUCUAAAAUCCUUUGGAUUAAAGAAUCCAAAAGUUAUGGGUUGCCAGAAUCAAAAGGGAGGUUUUUAAUUCAGCUUCUAAAAUACCAAAAGAUAAAGCAGAUAAAAAAUAAAGCUUAUGCCCACAGAUUUCACAACAUACAGUUGUUCAGUGCAAAAUUGGGCACCAGAAAAGCAGAUGUUCUCUUCAAGUCUCUUAUACUAUUGUAAGGUCCGUGAGUAUGGAAGGGCCGAUUGUAUGAUAGGUACUCAAUAAAUAUUUGCUGAAUGAAUGAAUGAAUGAUAUGUAAAUGCAAAUGCAUCUGCUUCUCUGUUAGCUGUUUUUUCUGUCAGAAGACUUGAUCUUUUAUCAUUUGAAUUCCACAAAAAACAUCUUAACCAAGUCAUGUCUUUGGGCCAAUCUGUUUCCAGGCUUGUUUGUGUUUUUCACAUUCUUUUUUUGGCCUGCAAUAAUAUUCUGUGACCUUGUUCAUGAAUUCCAGUAGGUCAUUCAGUUGGGACCCAAGGAAGUCAGUAAAUUAAGCUUGAUUUGGAAUGGAAUACAUAGAGUGUGUGGUUUGGAUUGGAAUCAAAUUCGCUCUGGCUAAUCUUAUUUUGGUUUAAUCUAUGUGGGAAAGAAUAGAAAUAGAGGAAAAACAAAUAAACAAAAAAAAAGGGGAAGCUAUUCUUGUAUGAUGGUAAGCAGUUUCUGUAAGGAAUAGUUCUGAGGGCAAAAACCUAAAUUAUUUUUAUUGGAAGUUUGGGGACAAGACUGAGCAAAGGAAAAAUCAGCGUCUCCAGUCAUCGUAGUUGGUGUUUACUUUUUCAGCUUUCCCAAACCACAGUCUCUAGGCUUUUAACAUGUGGAUGCUCCAUAGACAAGGCUCUUGCUUCUUCAUCUUCUCCAGGACUCUGGAAAUAGAUAAGCCCAAUCUUUGGGGAACCUCAGCAAUCAGGGAGGCAGAAAAAGUUUCUGAAACUGAGUUUACAGUCAGAUUAUCUAGACUCUUGAGCUUCUUUUUUUUUUUUUUUUAAAGAUUUUAUUUAUUUAUUUGAGAGAGAAUGAGAGACAGAGAGCAUGAGAGGGCAGAGGGGGAAGCAGACCCCCCGCUGAGCAGGGAGCCGGAUGCGGGACUGCGGGACUCGAUCCUGGGACUCCAGGAUCAUGACCUGAGCCGAAGGCAGUCGCUUAACCGACUGAGCCACCCAGGCGCCGACUCUUGAGCUUCUUAUAUAGGCCUAAGGAGAAGAAAUGUGGAGAAAGUGCAGUAAGUUCCUGCACUAAUAAUGAAUUUCUUUAAGCUGAUUUUUUACCCCUUCCACUAUUUCCAACUUGCAAUGUAUUGAACCCUGAAGACUUAACAUUGGUGCUCAGAGGAGAAGAAAUCCCCUCUGUGAACUGACUGAGAGCAUUUGAAUAAAAGAGAAACUUUUUCAAAGCUGCCUGGGAAGGAGGAGGCUGGGAAGGAGCUAGUGAAGCCAUCAGAGUGAGAGCCCUUUAGUUUGGAGUUCUGACUGGGGUGGGGGGAGUCAUGAGUGGAGUUGUUCUUUGAAGAGAAUUUCAUGUGGUACCUACUAAGUUCUGACAAAGGAGAGAGUCAGGACUUAGCAUUCAGGAGUUUCUUGAAUGUAAUAUUUGUUCCUGACAAUUGAAUUUUCCCUCCUACAGAAGUCAGUAUUUUGCUCAUUUAACAAAUUAAGUUUUCAUUUAAAAAAGGGGAGGAGUCAUCACAUUAUUUCUAAUUUCUCAGUUUGACCUGUGUGUUAAAGGUAUGAAUUAAGGACCUGAAACAUACGAAAUUUUUCCAGGUGCUACAGAGUUCUAAGUACCACGCCUCCUACUUAGUUGCCUGAUAACUGGUGCAGGCUUCACUUGCCUGAAUAGAGGGAAAUAAUAAUGGGUGACUCGACCAAAGGUACUUGUAUACAGUUCUUUUCAGCAUUCAGAUUCAUGAUUCCAAAGCAGUAAUAAAUUUUGGCUUUGGUUAAUUUUCCAGGAGCAAAUCUAAUUAGUGGCAGUCUUUUAAAAGUAUAAAUGACCUUUGGCUGCUUUGGGAAGAACUGAAAUAUUUAAAAAAAUUUAUUAGGCAGUAUUUCCUACAUAUAAAAUUAUACAUAAAUAUACAAUUAUACACGCAUAUAAUUCAUAUUAUACACUAUAGAUAGAGGUUUGAAAAAUAAGAUCCAAUUACACACAGGUCAGCUCAAGAGAUCAUAUGUUCUGUACUUGCUUACUGGAGUUACAAAGGUCUUUGAGUAGAUGCUGUUUGGACAGAGAAGGAUACCAUCAUUUCAUUCUCUGUUUUAGAAAAAAAUGGUUACCAUUAUAUUUGUUCAGUUCUGAUUCUCUCUGAUAAUUGGGUUUUUUCUUUUUGGAAAUGGCAUCUUAAAAAUGUAAAUUUACUGGGUGAGACAUUAUUGAGUAUGUUUCACUUAAAAUAGUUGUUGGUAAUAGGAAAAUGGCUAGAUUAAAUAAGCCACAGUCUAAUAAAUGAACUUUUUAAAGGGUUUACAAAAAUAUGGACAUAUGAAGAUGCCUUAAAUCUUUUUUGAAACGAGAUAUAUGAAUAAAUAAGGUUCGAAAGUGCUUACCUUAUUAAAGUUUAAAAAGGAGGAUAUAAAGUUGCAUAUUCUAGUAUAAUCACAACUACUGAGAUAGUUGGAAGAAGAAUUAAACAUUUGUAUCUCUGGGUGAUAGAAUUCUUUCUUCUUUUUACAGUUAUAUUUCCCAAACUUUAUUGAGCAUAUUUGUUCUUACAACGGAGAAGUCUCUUUUAUUUUUCUAAAAAAUAACUUGAUUGUUGCUGCAGUUUCCAGGAUGCCCAAGCUGAUUCCAGUUGCAUUUCUAGUGCGCUUCUGCCACCUUGUGCUUUCGGAAACCCAUUACAGUGAUCCGCGAAGAAAGAAAAUUACUUGGGAAGAUUGUUGUUUCUUUGGAGAUUUGUUUUCUGGAAAUAUCUUAGAAGCAGCCUGCUGAAUUUUCUCUCUGGUGGAUACGGUGUAGUCCUGCGAAGAACACAAGCCUUCCAAUUAGAUCUGCUUUGGUAUCCUGACUAGGCUGCUUGUUUGAUUUAUGUGAUCCUGUUUGAAUAAUUUCAUCCUCUCACCUGUAGAAUGGACCUAAUAAAGCCUGUGCUGUUACUGAAAGAUUAAGGGAUUUCAAUAUGCCCACCACUGUGCCUGGUGCAUACCAUGCACUUGUGUCUGCUGAACGAGUGACCCUGAGGUAUUUAUAAAUGGAUUCUGCAUAUAAAGGCAAGUCCAGGGGGGUGGAGGAAGGAUAAGAAGAUGGAAGCAGAAACACAGCUAAAUUUAUUCAGGUAGUUAAAGCUCCUAUAGAAGCCAAAGCCAUUAGCAGGGUGGAAAUCUCAGAUUGCAUAUGUAAAUGGCAGAACUGUAUGAUUAUUCUUUU